Molecule: non-coding RNA, 888 nt
Organism: Saimiri boliviensis boliviensis (Bolivian squirrel monkey)
Lineage: Eukaryota; Metazoa; Chordata; Mammalia; Primates; Cebidae
Source: RefSeq, a predicted model, not a curated record
UCUUUCUUUCCUUGUCCCUCUCCCUUCUCAUCACUUUUUUUCUUUUAACAUAUAGGGCAUUUACCUUACUUUUGUCUAUUUCCAUUUGUUUCCGUCUUCAUUCUUGUUCAUCUCUGCUAUUCCUUCUCCCGCCAGAAGGGAUGGAAACCCUAUUUGCUUUUCUCAAAGACCAUGGUUGGUCUACUUUCCUCACUCAGGCUCCUUGACAGUCUUCUAGAAGAGAGAAGAAGGAGAAGAAGCAGUUCCUGAUGUUACAAAUGAACAAGGAUCUCCCAGUCUGAGUCUUUGAGAAAAGGUGGCUGAAAGAGAGGAGUCCCCAGGUCCUCAAACAAAUGCCUAUCUAAACAUCAUCCUUAUCUUGUGAAGAAAACAAGAAGAAUUUCAUGCACCAUGUGAAUCACCUUCAGUUCAAAGUUGCAGCAAAAUGAAGAAACUACUGGAAGCUGCCAAGCAAUGCACUGUUGAGUCAUCAAUUAGGAGCCCACAGGAGGAUAAUAGAGAGGGAGACUGGGUGGAGGCUCAGUGUGGAAUAAUCUCUUGUCUAAUGUAUGUGUGUCACUGCCAUGUUGUAUUAAUAAUGAGAGCUCACAUUUACUUAACACUUGUGUGCUAAAAUCUGGGGUUUUAUUCUUUCCAGAACCAUGACUCAAUCAUAAAAUCUGUUUUGUUUGUAUGCAUACCCCAAACCACGCUAUGAGUAGAGCAUUGCCAUUAUCUCUGAUUUAGAGAUGAGGAAACGGGCUCAGAGAAGCUCAGUAAUUUGUCCAAGAUUGCACAGCUAGUAAAUGGCAGAAGUAGGAUUGUGAACCCAGGAAAUCUCCAGAGCUUCUGUGUAACCAUGAUGUUAUAUUUUUGUCCUCUUUAAAAACAAUAUUAAAUACCUUGCUA